UCGGGAAUUUUGGGCAAUGGGCGAAAGCCUGACCCAGCAACGCCGCGUGAGGGAUGAAGUAUUUCGGCAUGUAAACCUCGAAAGAAUGGGAAGAAUAAAUGACGGUACCAUUUAUAAGCUCCGGCUAACUACGUGCCAGCAGCCGCGGUAAUACGUAGGGAGCAAGCGUUGUUCGGAUUUACUGGGCGUAAAGGGCGCGUAGGCGGCGCGGUAAGUCACUUGUGAAAUCUCUGAGCUUAACUCAGAACGGCCAAGUGAUACUGCUGUGCUAGAGGGCGGAAGAGGCAACCGGAAUUCUUGGUGUAGCGGUGAAAUGCGUAGAUAUCAAGAGGAACACCUGAGGCGAAGGCGGGUUGCUGGGCCGACACUGACGCUGAUGCGCGAAAGCCAGGGGAGCAAACG
RNAcentral lists this ribosomal RNA (402 nucleotides) under uncultured bacterium. RNAcentral's name for it is "bacterial SSU rRNA". It matches the Rfam family "Bacterial small subunit ribosomal RNA", at positions 355 to 774 of the family's 1533-position model. The record is from RNAcentral.